Molecule: transfer RNA, 81 nt
Filed under: Lobosphaera incisa
Lineage: Eukaryota; Viridiplantae; Chlorophyta; Trebouxiophyceae; Trebouxiales; Trebouxiaceae
Description: tRNA-Leu
Rfam family: tRNA
About the family: Transfer RNA (tRNA) molecules are approximately 80 nucleotides in length.
Source: RNAcentral
GUCGUUAUGGUGAAAAGGUAGACACACAACAUUCAAAAUGUUGCGGGGAAACCCGUGUCGGUUCGAAUCCGACUAACGACA